UCGGGGUACACGAGCGGCGAACGGGUGAGUAACACGUGGGUGAUCUGCCCUGCACUUCGGGAUAAGCCUGGGAAACUGGGUCUAAUACCGGAUAUGACCAAAGGCUGCAUGGCUUUUGGUGGAAAGGUUUACUGGUGCAGGAUGGGCCCGCGGCCUAUCAGCUUGUUGGUGGGGUAAUGGCCUACCAAGGCGACGACGGGUAGCCGACCUGAGAGGGUGACCGGCCACACUGGGACUGAGACACGGCCCAGACUCCUACGGGAGGCAGCAGUGGGGAAUAUUGCACAAUGGGCGAAAGCCUGAUGCAGCGACGCCGCGUGAGGGAUGAAGGCCUUCGGGUUGUAAACCUCUUUCAGCAGGGACGAAGCGAGAGUGACGGUACCUGCAGAAGAAGCACCGGCUAACUACGUGCCAGCAGCCGCGGUAAUACGUAGGGUGCGAGCGUUGUCCGGAAUUACUGGGCGUAAAGAGUUCGUAGGCGGUUUGUCGCGUCGUCUGUGAAAACCCAUCGCUCAACGAUGGGCCGGCAGGCGAUACGGGCAGACUUGAGUACUGCA
This 557-nucleotide ribosomal RNA is filed under the name Rhodococcus sp. CH66. Its description in RNAcentral is "bacterial SSU rRNA". It matches the Rfam family "Bacterial small subunit ribosomal RNA", at positions 82 to 653 of the family's 1533-position model. The record is from RNAcentral. Lineage: Bacteria; Bacillati; Actinomycetota; Actinomycetes; Mycobacteriales; Nocardiaceae.